RNAcentral lists this small RNA (123 nucleotides) under Scophthalmus maximus (turbot). RNAcentral describes it as "5.8S ribosomal RNA". It matches the Rfam family "5.8S ribosomal RNA". Rfam says of the family: 5.8S ribosomal RNA (5.8S rRNA) is a component of the large subunit of the eukaryotic ribosome. It is transcribed by RNA polymerase I as part of the 45S precursor that also contains 18S and 28S rRNA. Lineage: Eukaryota; Metazoa; Chordata; Actinopteri; Pleuronectiformes; Scophthalmidae. The record is from Rfam by way of RNAcentral.
AACUCUUAGCGGUGGAUCACUCGGCUCGUGCGUCGAUGAAGAACGCGUCUUGUUCAAAUGAACAAUUUGAUUUCCACAAUACAUGAAUAAUGAGGUGAAUAAUAUAUUUCAAAGUGAGUAUCG